GACGGAGAGACCAGGUAGAGGACGGAGAGACCAGGUAGAGGACGGAGAGACCAGGUAGAGGACAGAGAGACCAGGUAGAGGACGGAGAGACCAGGUAGAGGACGGAGAGACCAGGUAGAGGACAGAGAGACCAGGUAGAGGACAGAGAGACCAGGUAGAGGACAGAGAGACCAGGUAGAGGACAGAGAGACCAGGUAGAGGACAGAGAGACCAGGUAGAGGACAGAGAGACCAGGUAGAGGACAGAGAGACCAGGUAGAGGACAGAGAGACCAGGUAGAGGACAGAGAGGUGUGGAUAGACCAGGUAGAGGACAGAGAGACCAGGUAGAGGACAGAGAGACCAGGUAGAGGACAGAGAGACCAGGUAGAGGACAGAGAGACCAGGUAGAGGACAGAGAGACCAGGUAGAGGACAGAGAGGUGUGGAUAGACCAGGUAGAGGACAGAGAGACCAGGUAGAGGACAGAGAGACCAGGUAGAGGACAGAGAGACCAGGUAGAGGACAGAGAGACCAGGUAGAGGACAGAGAGACCAGGUAGAGGACAGAGAGACCAGGUAGAGGACAGAGAGACCAGGUAGAGGACAGAGAGGUGUGGAUAGACCAGGUAGAGGACAGAGAGACCAGGUAGAGGACAGAGAGACCAGGUAGAGGACAGAGAGGUGUGGAUAGACCAGGUAGAGGACAGAGAGACCAGGUAGAGGACAGAGAGACCAGGUAGAGGACAGAGAGACCAGGUAGAGGACAGAGAGACCAGGUAGAGGACAGAGAGACCAGGUAGAGGACAGAGAGACCAGGUAGAGGACAGAGAGACCAGGUAGAGGACAGAGAGACCAGGUAGAGGACAGAGAGACCAGGUAGAGGACAGAGAGACCAGGUAGAGGACAGAGAGACCAGGUAGAGGACAGAGAGGUGUGGAUAGACCAGGUAGAGGAGCAGUCCAUCUCGUCAGUGGAACAGAACAGAGUCAUGAAUCAGGUUCAGAGACGUUGGAGGAAACGGCAGAAAAUAUUUUCUCAUCAAAAUAAAAAGGGAAAGUAAGAAUUGGGCGUUGAAAUAACUGUGUAUUAAAACCUAGUUUACGAUAGGAAGUGAUGUCAUUUUACAGUCCUCAGUUAGCACUGUAGUGCAGGAGGUUGAGUUCUGAUCACGAUGUGUCUGUAUAGCAUCAUAUUUUGUGU
This is a long non-coding RNA of Oncorhynchus keta (chum salmon), 1178 nucleotides long. RefSeq lists it as uncharacterized. The record is from RefSeq and is a predicted model, not a curated record. NCBI's taxonomy places the organism in Eukaryota, Metazoa, Chordata, Actinopteri, Salmoniformes, Salmonidae. The transcript has 3 exons.